GGUCGUUGUUAGUUUUAGCACUUUUAGCCAAGUUAUCAGUCCGAAAUUUAAUUCCGCUGGAGGUCUCUGUAUGUAGCGUGUUCGAGCGUUACUUCACCAGUUUACAGGAAAAUCAAUGUUUCUAUUACUAUGAGCGGAACUUCACCCUUUAUCGAACAACUCGAGAUAACCACGACAUAUGGAAAGCCUAUGUAGAAAUUUGCUGAGUCACACAUCAGGCGUGGAAGAAACCGACCGAUCGACUAGGACUCAAUCGUCAUGUCUUCGACAGCAACGUACCAGUAUGAUGCCAUCAUACCUCUUUCGUGAAGGCGAAGCCACUACCAAAGACGAAUAGUCAAGACCGUGUUGGGCAGGCUACCAUUAAAAUCUUUAUUAUAAUUCGAAAUUGUGCUUCGCUUAAAAGUGGAACAUUUGAGCAGCUUAACAGGAGUGUUAAUAUCCUAUUAUUCGCAAUUACUAAAUAAAGCUUAGUUAUCGACAACGAAAGAAAAUCACCUGCGGGCUGUUUCGACUCUGCAAAAAUCAUCUUCAGAUGAAUCGUAUGUAUCCUAGUCAAGUCCGUAAACAAAAUACGUGUAUAUCCACAUUUUUCUGACGGAUAUACCUAUUUGGUACUUUGCUUUUUUUAGAUUGGCCAUUAUUUUGUUGUAAUCUUGUUCGGUUACGUCGGAGAGCACGUGACGAAAAUGGCAAUGUCCAUAUUAUACAAUACCAAUAGAUACUACUCCGUGCUUUACAUCAAUGUCGCUCUCACUGGAAAAACGAUUUGAAUAUUCAAGGCGUGUAAUUAUUCUCGACUAUAUUGUCUACCAGAUUACUGUAGAAAAAUCGAAUCAUCGAAGUUGAUGAUCGGAAACGUGCAAUAGUAACAACCGGACCACUAAAAAAAAGUGCUAAAAAACAUUUUCGGUGAUUGAUUUUGAUGUUUUUUUGGAAAUAAAUAAAGUUAGAAAGGUCAUGACCCUUAAAAACGCAGAUUGCAAUAAGCUAGUCGUUUACCUUGUCAUGUCAAAUGUCGAAGAUCGCUAAAUAUUGCCAAUUAGUUACUCAAGGAACGUUUUUUUUUUACCAAUCAAUGGUUUUGUUCAACAAGGAUAAUAAAGCGUUUCUGACAAAAAGCUUUUUUUAUUCAUAGCAUUCAAGUGAUUAUCGUUUGAAGUAAUAUUUCUUCAAUCGCCAAACCGCUGGUUCACACUAGAUAUCUAACUAAAACGUAAAAUCAGCGAUGUACAUAAAAGGGGUCCUUAUUUUAAAAAGUUUUAAUUUUUUUCGUCGCAUUCUUUUUAGCAAAAAUUUCUUCGUUUGCUGGAUCAUCAUGAAGAGCAGUUUUAUUUUGAAUUAGCUGGUCAUACAUCUCCUUCUGAGCUUCGCGCUUGAGUCAGUUGCUCGCUCUACAUUUUUAAACGAGUUAUUAUUAUAAUGAGAGAACAUCAGAGGAUGCCAGGAGUGCUUGUAACCAUAAUAGACAAAGCUAGACUUAUCCAACUGUGUCUGACCAUCUUGACGCACCUGACGAAAUGCGUCAAGAAACAUUCGUAGUGCUUACGUCUUUUGUAUUUUGUUUUUUUCUUGAUUUUUUUUUGAUUGCUAAAGUUGCAUUUAUGUGGUCAGUUAAGUGGUGGAUGUCGAAUUUGUCCUAUUAACGGUUAUAUACGGUUGCUUGCCGUAGACAGACAAUUUGGCCUUUUCUUCUUAAAUCUUGUUGAAGGCGGCGAU
This 1719-nucleotide long non-coding RNA is filed under the name Varroa destructor (honeybee mite). RNAcentral's name for it is "uncharacterized LOC111250836". Lineage: Eukaryota; Metazoa; Arthropoda; Arachnida; Mesostigmata; Varroidae. The record is from RNAcentral.